This 495-nucleotide ribosomal RNA is filed under the name Salmonella enterica subsp. enterica serovar Enteritidis. Its description in RNAcentral is "partial 23S ribosomal RNA". It matches the Rfam family "Bacterial large subunit ribosomal RNA", at positions 161 to 698 of the family's 2925-position model. The record is from RNAcentral. Lineage: Bacteria; Pseudomonadati; Pseudomonadota; Gammaproteobacteria; Enterobacterales; Enterobacteriaceae.
AAUCCAUAGGUUAAUGAGGCGAACCGGGGGAACUGAAACAUCUAAGUACCCCGAGGAAAAGAAAUCAACCGAGAUUCCCCCAGUAGCGGCGAGCGAACGGGGAGGAGCCCAGAGCCUGAAUCAGCAUGUGUGUUAGUGGAAGCGUCUGGAAAGGCGCGCGAUACAGGGUGACAGCCCCGUACACAAAAGCGCAUGUGCUGUGAGCUCGAUGAGUAGGGCGGGACACGUGGUAUCCUGUCUGAAUAUGGGGGGACCAUCCUCCAAGGCUAAAUACUCCUGACUGACCGAUAGUGAACCAGUACCGUGAGGGAAAGGCGAAAAGAACCCCGGCGAGGGGAGUGAAAAAGAACCUGAAACCGUGUACGUACAAGCAGUGGGAGCACCCUUUGGGUGUGACUGCGUACCUUUUGUAUAAUGGGUCAGCGACUUAUAUUCUGUAGCAAGGUUAACCGAAUAGGGGAGCCGGAGGGAAACCGAGUCUUAACCGGGCGUUAA